GACAGAGGGGGCAAGCGUUGCUCGGAAUCACUGGGCGUAAAGGGCGCGUAGGCGGGAUGGCAAGUCGGUCGUGAAAUCCUUCGGCUCAACCGAAGAACGUCGGCCGAUACUGCCGUUCUUGAGGGAUGCAGAGGAGAUUGGAAUUCCCGGUGUAGCGGUGAAAUGUGUAGAGAUCGGGAGGAACACCGGUGGCGAAGGCGGGUCACUGGCCCGAUACUGACGCUGAGGCACGAAAGCGUGGGGAGCAAACAGG
RNAcentral lists this ribosomal RNA (253 nucleotides) under uncultured bacterium. RNAcentral's name for it is "partial 16S ribosomal RNA". It matches the Rfam family "Bacterial small subunit ribosomal RNA", at positions 524 to 776 of the family's 1533-position model. The record is from RNAcentral.